UACGUAGGGGCCUAGCGUUGUCCGGAUUUACUGGGCGUAAAGAGCGCGCAGGCGGUCGUUCAAGUCGCGUGUGAAAGCCCCCGGCUCAACUGGGGAGGGUCACGCGAUACUGAUCGACUCGAAGGCAGGAGAGGGAAGUGGAAUUCCCGGUGUAGUGGUGAAAUGCGUAGAUAUCGGGAGGAACACCAGUGGCGAAGGCGACUUCCUGGCCUGUUCUUGACGCUGAGGCGCGAAAGCUAGGGGAGCAAACGGG
This 253-nucleotide ribosomal RNA is filed under the name uncultured bacterium. Its description in RNAcentral is "partial 16S ribosomal RNA". It matches the Rfam family "Bacterial small subunit ribosomal RNA", at positions 524 to 776 of the family's 1533-position model. The record is from RNAcentral.